GCGGAUAUGGCGGAACUGGCAGACGCGCAUGGUUCAGGUCCAUGUGCCCGCAAGGGCGUGGAGGUUCGACUCCUCUUAUCCGCACCA
This 87-nucleotide transfer RNA is filed under the name Bryobacterales bacterium. Its description in RNAcentral is "tRNA-Leu". It matches the Rfam family "tRNA". From Rfam's summary of the family: Transfer RNA (tRNA) molecules are approximately 80 nucleotides in length. Lineage: Bacteria; Pseudomonadati; Acidobacteriota; Terriglobia; Bryobacterales. RNAcentral also lists the same sequence under 2 other names. The record is from RNAcentral.